This 548-nucleotide unclassified non-coding RNA is filed under the name Hevea brasiliensis (rubber tree). Lineage: Eukaryota; Viridiplantae; Streptophyta; Magnoliopsida; Malpighiales; Euphorbiaceae. The record is from RNAcentral.
GCCAAUUCGACUCCGCUCAAAUGGCGAGGAUCAAGGUCCAUGAGCUCCGCGGUAAAUCGAAGGCGGAUCUGCUGACCCAGCUCAAUGAACUCAAGGCGGAGCUCGCCCUCCUCCGCGUCGCCAAGGUCACCGGCGGCGCCCCCAACAAGCUAUCCAAGAUCAAAGUCGUUCGACUGUCGAUCGCGCAGGUGCUGACAGUUAUCUCGCAGAAGCAGAAGGCCGCGCUGCGCGAGGUCUACAAGAAGAAGAAGUAUCUCCCGCUUGAUCUCAGGCCGAAGAAGACCCGGGCUAUCCGCCGCCGGCUCACCAAGCACCAGGAGUCUCUAAAGACUGAACGGGAGAAGAAAAAAGAGAUGUAUUUUCCAAUGAGGAAGUAUGCCAUCAAGGCCUAGGAUAUGACUUCUAAGAUUUUUCUUGCAUGUUUGGAUUUAAGGGAUGAUUUUUCUCGCAUGUUUGGAUUUAAGGGUUGGCACUGCUGUGCUAGAUUUUAAUUCAGCUUCUCAGUAGACUGUAGAACUGUCCUUUCCUUUCAAAUGACUAUUUAAUUU